Molecule: long non-coding RNA, 259 nt
Organism: Lampris incognitus (smalleye Pacific opah)
Lineage: Eukaryota; Metazoa; Chordata; Actinopteri; Lampriformes; Lampridae
Exons: 3
Source: RefSeq, a predicted model, not a curated record
CCCAACACAUGGGUGGUGAGACAGGACUGGAGGACGGCCAGAGGAAGACAGGCGGUGACGGACCAUUUGAUCCAGUUGGAGUGGUUCACCAGUAAGAGGAUAAAGAAAGACGAGGAGAAGCCAGGCCAAGCGCAGGGUCACCGUCACUCCUCGGCUUCCAGUUAUGAGCUCAACGCCCAGGCUGCCGUGCUGCACGACCUCAACGAUGAAUCUGUCUUGGAUCUCUUCGAACAAAUGCUGCGGGCCCCGACGACACACC